GAGCUGUUAUAUUGUGUAUAUAAUAAGAGAAAUCUGAGUCAAAAAAAUAUAGUUCAAGAUCUGGUUCACUCUAUAUUCUUCAUAUUGAUACUAUUAACUCUAAGUGAAGUCAUGAAAGAUACUUUACCUAUUGCAUAGUAUAUAUAUCCAGUAAAAUAUCAUUUCACAUUGUUAAAUUUUAAACUUUAAUUGUUUCAUAAAUUUUUAAGGAGAAUUGUUGGUGUUUUGGAGGGAAUUAAGAAUUCAAAUUUUCUCAAACCAAUUCCAACCAAAUUCUAACUCUUUGUUUUGUUUAGUCCCA
Molecule: long non-coding RNA, 301 nt
Filed under: Elaeis guineensis (African oil palm)
Lineage: Eukaryota; Viridiplantae; Streptophyta; Magnoliopsida; Arecales; Arecaceae
Description: long non-coding RNA (EGUI_LNC076640)
Source: RNAcentral